CGAAGCAUCACAACUUUGGAGUGGGAGAAUGGCUUUGUUUCUGUUUACAGCAAGGACAAUCCAAACUUGCUUUUCAGCAUGUGUGGGUUUGAAGUUCGAAUACUUCCUAAACUAAGGAUGACUCAGGAAGCAUUCAGCAAUACCAGAGAUGGUGUUUGGAAUUUGCAAAAUGAGCAGACUAAAGAGCGAACAGCUGUUGCUUUCCUACGGGUUGAUGAUGAGCACAUGAAGGUGUUUGAGAAUCGUGUGAGGCAGAUUCUUAUGUCUUCAGGGUCAACUACUUUCACAAAAA
This 292-nucleotide unclassified non-coding RNA is filed under the name Hevea brasiliensis (rubber tree). Lineage: Eukaryota; Viridiplantae; Streptophyta; Magnoliopsida; Malpighiales; Euphorbiaceae. The record is from RNAcentral.